Molecule: ribosomal RNA, 441 nt
Filed under: uncultured bacterium
Lineage: Bacteria
Description: partial 16S ribosomal RNA
Rfam family: Bacterial small subunit ribosomal RNA
Source: RNAcentral
CUACGGGGGGCUGCAGUGGGGAAUUUUGCGCAAUGGGCGGAAGCCUGACGCAGCAACGCCGCGUGAGGGAUGAAGGUCUUCGGAUUGUAAACCUCUGUCAAGUGGGAAGAACCCUGACGGUACCACUGGAGGAAGCCCCGGCUAACUCCGUGGCCAGCAGCCGCGGUAAUACGGAGGGGGCAAGCGUUGUUCGGAAUCAUUGGGCGUAAAACGUAUGUAGGCGGCCGGAUAAGUCAGGCGUGCAAGCCCAUGGCUUAACCAUGGAAUUGCGUCUGAAACUAUCUGGCUUGAGGACAGGAGAGGAAAGCGGAAUUCCCAGUGUAGCGGUGAAAUGCGUUGAUAUUGGGAAGAACACCGGUGGCGAAGGCGGCUUUCUGGCCUGUUUCUGACGCUGAGAUACGAAAGCCAGGGGAGCGAACGGGAUUAGAUACCCGUGUAGUC